UACGGUAGGGGCUAGCGUUGUUCGGAAUUACUGGGCGUAAAGAGCGCGUAGGCGGCUUACCAAGUUGGGGGUGAAAUCCCGGAGCUCAACUCCGGAACUGCCUUCAAAACUGGUAGGCUCGAGUCCGGAAGAGGGGCGGGGAAUUCCCAGUGUAGAGGUGAAAUUCGUAGAUAUUGGGAAGAACACCGGUGGCGAAGGCGGCGCCCUGGUCCGGUACUGACGCUGAGGCGCGACAGCGUGGGGAGCAAACAGG
RNAcentral lists this ribosomal RNA (253 nucleotides) under uncultured bacterium. RNAcentral's name for it is "partial 16S ribosomal RNA". It matches the Rfam family "Bacterial small subunit ribosomal RNA", at positions 524 to 776 of the family's 1533-position model. The record is from RNAcentral.